Long non-coding RNA from Polypterus senegalus (gray bichir), 1119 nucleotides. RefSeq lists it as uncharacterized. Lineage: Eukaryota; Metazoa; Chordata; Cladistia; Polypteriformes; Polypteridae. The transcript has 3 exons. The record is from RefSeq and is a predicted model, not a curated record.
UUUUAUUGAAAGUCAUCAGGACAGGGUCCUGUGCCACCACUGAAAACUCAACUGGAAAUAAAAUGCUUAUAAUACAACUACAAGGAAAAGAGAAAAAUGUGUGUUUUGAACUGCACAAACAGAACUUGUCUGUCUGAGGUCUCACUUUUGGUGUAACACAACAAAAUGGAAAAGGAAAAAGAGGGGGCCAAGAUUGCAGCUGAACUCAUCAAUACUGGAGUGCAUACAAGUUCCAAAGCUGUCAGCUUCUCCCGUUAGGGGUUGCCACAGUGGAUCAUCUUCUUCCAUGUCUUUCUGUCCUCUGCAUCUACAUCAACUGAAAAUUAUAGAUGAAAGAGAUUAGGGAAUUACUACAAGAGUCUCAAUAAUACUAUGAUUAAAUAAUUAUAAAUAACAAACAGCUUAAACAAUAUUUUUAAUUAGCAUGUUAGCAAGUACUAUGAGAAACUGUGAAAGCCAUUGCCUAGCAACAGGAGGGUUGAUUUACUAAUUAGGGUGUGGCAAAGGACAAGAAUUUGUUAAGAAUAACAGCAUUAUAAGCCUGAUGGCCGACAAUGAUGAGAUGGCUUGCAGAGAAGAGGUCUACCAGCUGACUCCAUUGUGCCAGGGCAAUAAUCUCAUCCUUAAUGGUAGCAAAACCAAGUAGCUGGCUGUAGAAUUCAGAAAACAGAAAGCAAACCACACUGACAUCUACACUGGAGGGGAUGCUAUAGAGUUUACUACAUCUACCUGCCUCCCUGUGAUGCUACUUAAGCUCUGAUUCAAAGCUGACACUCAAAAAAGGUAAUUUCAGGCAAAAUCAACUUAGCUUUGUUCUAAAAUAAAAGCAAAAACAAAUGCAGUGGAUAUUUGAAAAGCGUGAGAAAAGGCUUCUCAAUUUUAGUUUAAUUAAAUGAACAUCACUCUUUCUGUUGCUGCAGAGCACACCUUGGCAGUCACAAGUCCACAUCUUAACGGAAAUUCCUUGGUCUGUGAUUCUGUAAAAGAGCUGAAUAGCCUGAUUUAACAGUAAACAUUCCGUUUUAGUGACCUCAUUCACAGAGAGGUGGCACAGUAGAACAGUGAUGAAUACUAACCCUCACCUAUUCUGUUUCUUUUCUCGGUACCCAAAUGUGGCCA